This 747-nucleotide ribosomal RNA is filed under the name Bacillus pumilus. RNAcentral describes it as "bacterial SSU rRNA". It matches the Rfam family "Bacterial small subunit ribosomal RNA", at positions 57 to 787 of the family's 1533-position model. The record is from RNAcentral. Lineage: Bacteria; Bacillati; Bacillota; Bacilli; Caryophanales; Bacillaceae.
GCAAGUCGAGCGGACAGAAGGGAGCUUGCUCCCGGAUGUUAGCGGCGGACGGGUGAGUAACACGUGGGUAACCUGCCUGUAAGACUGGGAUAACUCCGGGAAACCGGAGCUAAUACCGGAUAGUUCCUUGAACCGCAUGGUUCAAGGAUGAAAGACGGUUUCGGCUGUCACUUACAGAUGGACCCGCGGCGCAUUAGCUAGUUGGUGAGGUAACGGCUCACCAAGGCGACGAUGCGUAGCCGACCUGAGAGGGUGAUCGGCCACACUGGGACUGAGACACGGCCCAGACUCCUACGGGAGGCAGCAGUAGGGAAUCUUCCGCAAUGGACGAAAGUCUGACGGAGCAACGCCGCGUGAGUGAUGAAGGUUUUCGGAUCGUAAAGCUCUGUUGUUAGGGAAGAACAAGUGCAAGAGUAACUGCUUGCACCUUGACGGUACCUAACCAGAAAGCCACGGCUAACUACGUGCCAGCAGCCGCGGUAAUACUUAUGUGGCAAGCGUUGUCCGGAAUUAUUGGGCGUAAAGGGCUCGCAGGCGGUUUCUUAAGUCUGAUGUGAAAGCCCCCGGCUCAACCGGGGAGGGUCAUUGGAAACUGGUAAACUUGAGUGCANAAGAGGAGAGUGGAAUUCCACGUGUAGCGGUGAAAUGCGUACAGAUGUGGAGGAACACCAGUGGCGAAGGCGACUCUCUGGUCGGUAACUGACGCUGANGGNCGUAAGCGUGCCGAGCGAACACGAUUAGAUACCC